UUCUUAAAAUAAGAUGUUUGGUUAGAACUAUUGAUUGUUUUCACUUUUGUUAUCUUAGCAGAAUGACGCAUCAUCCAUCAAAAAUGUGAGUGUGAGGACGGUGGGACCAUUCUGGCACACUGAGCAGCAGGGCCCUCCGAGCCCUCAGAUGUCGUCCAGCCAGGUGUGUGGGGGCCACUUGCCAUGCACAGCUUCUCUCAGCAGAGGCUGACCAGAAUGGUGGUGAUAUGAAGAGUUGGGAAAUUCGACUUGAAUACAAAACAUAAUACUGCUUCCACUUAAAAAGGCGAUGAAAAUAGCUACCUCCUUCCAUUGUCCUAUAGGUACCUAUUUGGAAAAAGACAGGCUCAGCCACAC
Molecule: long non-coding RNA, 357 nt
Filed under: Rhinopithecus bieti (black snub-nosed monkey)
Lineage: Eukaryota; Metazoa; Chordata; Mammalia; Primates; Cercopithecidae
Description: lncRNA (ENSRBIG00000046118.1)
Source: RNAcentral